This 253-nucleotide ribosomal RNA is filed under the name uncultured bacterium. RNAcentral describes it as "partial 16S ribosomal RNA". It matches the Rfam family "Bacterial small subunit ribosomal RNA", at positions 524 to 776 of the family's 1533-position model. The record is from RNAcentral.
UACGUAGGGGGCUAGCGUUGUCCGGAUUUAUUGGGCGUAAAGAGCGUGUAGGCGGCCAGGUAGGCCUGCUGUGAAAACUCGAGGCUCAACCUCGAGACGUCGGCGGAAACCAUCUGGCUAGAGUCCGGAAGAGGAGAGUGGAAUUCCUGGUGUAGCGGUGAAAUGCGCAGAUAUCAGGAAGAACACCCGUGGCGAAGGCGGCUCUCUGGGACGGUACUGACGAUGAGACGCGAAAGCGUGGGGAGCGAACAGG